RNAcentral lists this non-coding RNA (308 nucleotides) under uncultured Superficieibacter sp. RNAcentral describes it as "MicL sRNA". It matches the Rfam family "MicL sRNA". From Rfam's summary of the family: mRNA-interfering complementary RNA regulator of Lpp. Transcription factor sigma E dependant sRNA. Together with MicA and RybB it allows sigma E to repress the synthesis of all abundant outer membrane proteins in response to stress. The record is from RNAcentral. Lineage: Bacteria; Pseudomonadati; Pseudomonadota; Gammaproteobacteria; Enterobacterales; Enterobacteriaceae.
UAUGGCCGGAUCCGGCGUUCGCGCUGGCAAUCUCGAAACGUUUCUCAACGCAGGUGUUAAAGAGGUCCACAGCUCCGCUGGCGGAUGGAUCCCCUCCACAAUGCGCUACCGUAAUCCUGGAUUAUCCAUGUCGACGGACCCGAACGCGGACGAAUAUCAGCGUUACGCCGUUAACGGAGAAUCGGUGGCAGAGAUGAAAGCGAUCAUCACGCGUUUCAGCCAACAGAAUUAACGUUUUUUACCGCGCAUCAUGUCGCCCAUAUGAUGCUUGCUUGUACCAGGCCCCUGCAUUUACAGGGGCCUUUUUU